Oryza sativa Japonica Group (Japanese rice) is the source of this 197-nucleotide microRNA precursor. It matches the Rfam family "MIR812 microRNA precursor family". The record is from Rfam. NCBI's taxonomy places the organism in Eukaryota, Viridiplantae, Streptophyta, Magnoliopsida, Poales, Poaceae.
UUUAAGCGUAGCCAUAAGUUUACGUGUUCAACUUUAAUCGUCCGUCUUAUUUGAAAUUUUUUUAUGAUUAGUAUUUUUAUUGUUAUUAGAUGAUAAACAUAGUACUUUAUGCGUGACUUAUAUUUUUUAAUUUUUUUAAAAAAAUUAAAUAAGACAUAGAUUAAAGUUGGACACGAAAACUCACGAUUCUAUCUUUA